Molecule: long non-coding RNA, 877 nt
Filed under: Mytilus galloprovincialis (Mediterranean mussel)
Lineage: Eukaryota; Metazoa; Mollusca; Bivalvia; Mytilida; Mytilidae
Source: RNAcentral
GCCUCAGUUUUUUCUUUUCUGUUUUUUUUUUAUGGCUGUAGAAAUAUUUCACACAUGGGAUAAAUCUGAUAAUUUCAUUCCACAAAAGGGGAUACAUGGUCAAUGUAAGAAAAAGGAAUAACUUUUCCAAGAAUUCAAAUAUAGACAAAUUUUCAGUUCAAGACUUAACAACACUGAGGAUUUAACUCAUAUUCAUAAGCUUCAUAUAUUCACGAAUGUGUUAUUCAAUUACUGGUUGAAUGUUUUCUAUGUUUGAAUUCUUGGUUUUUUCAUUCAAUAGUUAUUGUUGUGCAAGCAAAUGGAAUUGAACAUUUACUGUUGAUUAAUUAUUUGUUUUUCGUUGACGUUUUUCAUGGAAUUUAUGGGUACAGGUGAACCAGAAAUUUAAAUAUUCAACGAAUAGCAAAUUUUUAACAAGACUUUAGGACAACCAUGAAAUUUAUUUGUAAGAGCUUAAAAUGUUCUGACAUGUAAAUUAAGUCUUUAAAUAUUAUAAUUUAUUGAUGUCAUUCAACUAUUUAAGGCUAUAACUUUUGUUCAUUUUUUUGUGAUUGAUGGAAAACUAACACCUGUUUUAAGGUUUGUGUUUUGAGGUAUGGUUGUCAUGUGAGUCAUUUGGUUGCUGUCUCAUUGGUUAUACUGUGGAUUCAUAAUCGUGGAUAUUUGAUUUCUUAGUUUUGCCAAAACCUGUAUACAAAGCCUAUUGAAAUAUUGAUAAUUGUUUAACAUUUGAUUUCGUGGUUCACCUGUAACCAUGAAACCCAUGGAAAUUGGUAUCCAAUGAAUAUUUAUGAAUCCACAGUAUUCCCAUAUCAUCACCUUUUAAUUCUUUAAAAAAAAAUUGAUAUUCAAAUGUUAACGACAGAACCUGUUUUCU